Molecule: ribosomal RNA, 907 nt
Filed under: uncultured bacterium
Lineage: Bacteria
Description: bacterial SSU rRNA
Rfam family: Bacterial small subunit ribosomal RNA
Source: RNAcentral
GGAUGAACGCUAGCGGCAGGCUUAAUACAUGCAAGUCGAGGGGCAGCAUGGUGUAGCAAUACACUGAUGGCGACCGGCAAACGGGUGCGGAACACGUACAGAACCUUCCUUCAAGCGGGGAAUAGCCCAGAGAAAUUUGGAUUAAUACCCCAUAGCAUAAUGGAGUGGCAUCACUUUGUUAUUAAAGAUUUAUCACUUGAAGAUGGCUGUGCGGCUGAUUAGGUAGUUGGCGGGGUAACGGCCCACCAAGCCUGCGAUCAGUAACUGGUGUGAGAGCACGACCAGUCACACGGGCACUGAGACACGGGCCCGACUCCUACGGGAGGCAGCAGUAAGGAAUAUUGGUCAAUGGACGAAAGUCUGAACCAGCCAUGCCGCGUGGAGGAUGAAGGUCCUCUGGAUUGUAAACUUCUUUUAUCUGGGACGAAAAAAGGUCUUUCUAGAUCGUCUGACGGUACCAGAUGAAUAAGCACCGGCUAACUCCGUGCCAGCAGCCGCGGUAAUACGGAGGGUGCAAGCGUUAUCCGGAUUCACUGGGUUUAAAGGGUGCGUAGGUGGGUUGGUAAGUCAGUGGUGAAAUCUUCGAGCUUAACUCGGAAACUGCCAUUGAUACUAUCAGUCUUGAAUAUUGUGGAGGUUAGCGGAAUGUGUCAUGUAGCGGUGAAAUGCUUAGAUAUGACAUAGAACACCAAUUGCGAAGGCAGCUGGCUACACAUAUAUUGACACUGAGGCACGAAAGCGUGGGGAUCAAACAGGAUUAGAUACCCUGGUAGUCCACGCCCUAAACUAUGGAUACUCGACAUACGCGAUACACUGUGUGUGUCUGAGCGAAAGCAUUAAGUAUCCCACCUGGGAAGUACGAUCGCAAGAUUGAAACUCAAAGGAAUUGACGGGACCCGCACAAGCG